RNAcentral lists this long non-coding RNA (3511 nucleotides) under Nicotiana tabacum (common tobacco). Its description in RNAcentral is "long non-coding RNA (NTAB_LNC005994)". Lineage: Eukaryota; Viridiplantae; Streptophyta; Magnoliopsida; Solanales; Solanaceae. The record is from RNAcentral.
CGCUAACACUAAUUAAAAGUAUAUAAAAAAAUCCACUCCUAUUAUUAAAUGAAAAAAAAUCACAGAUUGGUGUAGGUCUUCUUCUCCUUGCUCGUUGCUCUCUAAAACUUUUCCCACUCAAUUUCCUCUCUUAUCAAAUCUCUCGAAUCUAACUGCUCAAAUCACAAAUUGUGACCCAUCUGAUAGCAAAGCAAAAGCCCUAAUCAAAAAAUGUGACUCCAUCAGGUAUGUGCUCUAAUCUUAAACUCAAAUUCCUUUUCGGUGGUAUAUACAGUUAGCGAGAAUGAUAAUUUCAACGAUUUCACAUAGGAUUUUCACAGACUUCACCUAUAAUUUCUCUGACCCAGUUGAAAAACUAUAGGAACGAAAAGAAAUUCAUACAAUAACAAUCCAUGGUGAGGAGUCAGCGGGGAUUUUGGGUUUUCAGUCUGAUGCUCAACUUUUCUCGGCCUCCGAAAAAAAUUAGUAAACUAUUUUUUGAUCCGCUGUCUUGAUAACACUCUCCAAUCUCUCCCUAUCUCUUUCUCUAGCAAAAUCGAGUAGUAAUUCUGUAUUAAUCAUAAAAGUUGGGUUGUUCUUUUCUUGGUAGCAGAAGCACGAACAUUCGUAGUUUUUGGGUUUUUUUUUUUUUUUUUAUUUUUUUAGGGUUAUUGUUGUUUCAGUUUGUUCUGUUAGUAGAGAAAGGAACUAAGAGUAUUUGUAUUGGCGGAAAGAGGAGGAAUAAAAGUUCAGGUAGUGAUUGAGAGAACAUUGAAGGAAAUAUCAAAUGGUAAUUUUGUUCUUGACAUGAAGAAUAAAUGUGGUGUUGGAGGUAUUGAGGUUAUGUUUUUAGAAGAUAGAGCUACUGAAGAUUAGCCUAUCACCCCAUGAACCUUUUCUGUUGCCAGGUAAUCCAAACUAUUUGUUGACUAAUUCUUUGAUUGUCUAGCUUUCGCUUAACGUUGCUAUGGACUGUGUUAACUUUUCCUGCUAUACCCCAAAAGAAUAUGAUAGUGCUUCAUAUUUAAUUGUGCAAUAUUUAGUUAUCUAUAAACUAAAAUAGUGGGAUGUAAUGUGUAGUUGAAAAUAGUGUUAUUAUCCUCUUUUUUCUUUAGAUUAAGUUCUAUUCAGUUAGUUUCCUGCUCCAGGAGAACCAUUUAGUUAUCAUUGAUUUAUGCAGCUGGAUUUAUUAAUUAAUGGGUGUUUGGUUAUGAAAAUAAUUGAUUUAGUUUAUGUGAAGUUGUCAACUAUUAGUCCUUCUUGACAGUCAUCUUUAUAGAGUUGUGUUGAUAUAACUUUUUAUGGGAUUCACACUACAACAAAGGACUUGCCUUCCCUGUGGUGGAGAGAGAUGCUAUCACGCGACCUUCUACCUCAUAAUUCUUCAGGUCAAGAACUUGCCUUCUCUGUUUCAAGCCAAGAACUUCAGGUCAUUUCAUAAUUCUUGACUUAUAACCUUGAGUUCGUUCUUCCAUUUCCACUCAUAAUAAGACUGGUAAUAUUUUCUGUCAAAUAUCAGGAGAAGAAAUUAAUGCACAAUUUCUUUCAAUAUUAAGUUUCCUCGUAAGGAUACAUGGCUAUGUGGUUCUUCAGGUAGUCUUACCUCUCACUAUAGCAGUGAAAAUUUCACAUCAUGUUCAUUAUAUGAACUUAAAUGGAGUUGGUAUGAGGUUAGAGAUAGCAUGGUUAUAUUGUCCAUCACGUUAAUGGAAUUACCUUGUAGCAUGGCUAUAUGGUCAUAUAUGUUUAAUUUUCUCGUUCUCCUUUUUAUUUUAUCAUGUUUUUUCCUUUUUGUGCCCUCUAGAACAAAUGAUUUAAGCUCCCAUUUUUGUCAAUUGUACAUUUAAAAUCCUUUUACAGUAAGUCUAAGGGAAUACAAUUCCAUUAAAAUAUUACUUGACUAUUCUAUGUUAUUUCAUGAUGAGUCUACUUUGUCACCAGACCAAUGGGUGAUUUUAUGUCUAUGCUGCUAAAAUUCUGCUGAUAACGUAUUAUUCCAAUGCUCGGGAAAGAAAUAAAAAGUUAUCUUACAAGUUUCUUAUCGAUUAUUCCAUGUGCUGGAACUUUUUAUCCAAGUCAUUAUUGUUACUGAUGGAGAGCGAAUAUUACGACGUGGUAAUCUUGGUUGUCAGGUAAAUCUUUUAAAUUCUACUAGCUAUUAGAUUUGUUUUCUAAUAGUGUGUUAUUUGAACAAUUGGAUGGAACUAAUUAGAGAGACAAUACUGACUAUCUCUUACUUUACUUGUACACGGUACCAUGUUGAUAACAUACUUGACCGAAAGUUCCAAUGUAGUUUCAGGGAAUUAUUAUAGUGCUCUUGGAGGUGUUCGUCCCUCAUCCUGAUUAUGUUAGUAUUACUAGCAUUACCAUUUAUGUGUUUUCUUUUUUAUUUUCAUUCUUACUGUUAUUACUAAUCUCAUACAUUCUCUUUUUGAACAAAAGUAUCGAUAAGAGGCUCAACUUUUUUUCCAUUUCCCUUCUCUGCUAUCUCUUUCUUGGUCUUUAGAUUUUAUGCUAUAUUCCUAAUUAAAUCGGGGUAGUCUCUCAUCUAUCUCUUUCUCGGUCUUCAAGUUCUCAUUUUUUUAGCAACUUUUUGGUACCUUAAUCAUCACAGUAAUUUUUUGUUGAUUAGCUUAUUGAUCUUAAUAGAGUUGGGAUCGGCUGUGUUUAUUUACUUUGACAAAAAGCUAAAAAGAGGUGAAUGUUACGCCAACUGAUAAUUGUAGUACCAGUUGAUUCAUUUGUGUGUGGCCUUUAAUAGAUUAUUUGGAGUUUUGCUGAAUUGAGCUAAGAAUUUUCCAGAAUAAAGUUUAUUGUUCAAUCUAAAAUCAAUCUCCAGAUAAUAGGAGUCCCCAUCAGUUAUUUGUUUAAUGCUCUUUCAUUUCCCCCAUUUUGAUGGAAACUCUUGGCUCUGUUUCGAACCAGUUAUAAUUUUCAUUAUGUCUAUUUGUAUUGUCGAUUCUGUUUUGCACUUUUUUUUUAUGAUCAUAUUUAGUAAUUUAUAAACUUUAUGCAUAAUUAAAUAAGUUUAUUGACACUUGAAGCUUCAACCUAGGAAACUAUAUUGAGUUUUCUUUAAAUUCUCAUGCUUGUGGUAUUUGAGUUUGGUUUUCUAGCUGCUCCACUUUGACCCACUUGGGCAGUUUGAUAGUUUCAAAUUUCUGAGCUUAGUUCGCUUGGCAAAACUAUUUUGUACAACUUUCCUUGGUCAAACUUUUCCUUUGCUUUUUUAAAUGCGUUUUGCAAUCUUUUACUCCAAUCUAUUGGCCAUCCUUUUUUACUAUUAACAUUGAGAAUUGUCAAAGUGAUCUCUUGUUUGUUUUUCUUAAUAACAGGGGUGAGGCUCUUAAUCAAUCACAAUUGUUGUCGACCAUGGAGGAGUUUGAAGGCCCUAAAUCAUAGUUAUUAUUUUUCUUAUCAUAUGUAUAUGAAUACAAUGACAAUGAACGAUGAAGUAUUGUGUAAUACAAAUUAAUUGAUAUUUUGGUAAUGGAAGUAUAUAUAAUAUUCAGUUUGAGAAAUACUUUUGGUA